UACUUUUAAAUAAUAUAUGUAGGGUAGGCACAGCAUCCACAUUAUAGGGAUCCAAAUAUUGACCUUCACCCUCGAUUUCGUGCUGAAAUUAAAAUAGCUCUCAAGCAGAUGAAGAGCGGGAAAGUUCCAGGGUUAGAUAAUAUUGCCCUGGAAGUCCUUAAAGUAGAUGCAGAGACCUCGAUAGAUCUGCUGCACCCUAUGUUUGUGAAGAUUUGGAUGGGGGAGAAAAUACCAGCUGACUGGAAGAAAGGAGAUAGCCGGAUGUGAUAUCAAUCUAUGGGAUGUAACAAACCAGCAAUCAGAUAAAAGAAAGGAAUUGGUGCUGGAUUGGACAUACUUUGAGAAAACCAGAGGGAGCUAUAGAGAGGGUGGCAUUAGACUGGAAUCUACAGGGUGCAUGGAGAUGAGGAGGUACAAGAAAACCUGGAAGAAGAUGGUUUAAGAGGAGGCUGCUGAGAUGGGCAAGACCUGGAAGGAAGUGAAGAGAAUGGCCAAUACACAAUCAUACUAGAUGGUGAUGUUUCACAGAUGCCCUAUGCUCAAGUUAGGAGUGAUAGGAAGUAGGAUAGGAAUUCUAUACAGUAUUUCCAAUAAAUUUCACCUGUAUUUAAUUUAUUGGAUAUAUUCUGAGUUUCAUGCUUUUGAUAUUUUUCAAUUUUUAACUUGCAGAGUACAUAUGAUGGAACUUGUAGGCAUGUUUAUGAUCUCUGUAUCAAAUUUCAUAUAGGUGGGUUGUUAAUUACUGCCACAAAUCUGGAAGUUGUACAUUGAUUUCAUAACACUGCCAUCGUGGUUUACAUU
Non-coding RNA from Zootermopsis nevadensis, 801 nucleotides. Lineage: Eukaryota; Metazoa; Arthropoda; Insecta; Blattodea; Termopsidae. The record is from RefSeq and is a predicted model, not a curated record.